Molecule: ribosomal RNA, 561 nt
Filed under: Botryotrichum murorum
Lineage: Eukaryota; Fungi; Ascomycota; Sordariomycetes; Sordariales; Chaetomiaceae
Description: eukaryotic LSU rRNA
Rfam family: Eukaryotic large subunit ribosomal RNA
Source: RNAcentral
GCAUAUCAAUAAGCGGAGGAAAAGAAACCAACAGGGAUUGCCCCAGUAACGGCGAGUGAAGCGGCAACAGCUCAAAUUUGAAAUCUGGCUUCGGCCCGAGUUGUAAUUUGCAGAGGAAGCUUUAGGCGCGGCACCAUCUGAGUCCCCUGGAACGGGGCGCCACAGAGGGUGAGAGCCCCGUAUAGAUGGACGCCUAGCCUGUGUAAAGCUCCUUCGACGAGUCGAGUAGUUUGGGAAUGCUGCUCUAAAUGGGAGGUAAAUUUCUUCUAAAGCUAAAUACCGGCCAGAGACCGAUAGCGCACAAGUAGAGUGAUCGAAAGAUGAAAAGCACUUUGAAAAGAGGGUUAAAUAGCACGUGAAAUUGUUGAAAGGGAAGCGCUUGUGACCAGACUUGCGCCGGGCGGAUCAUCCGGUGUUCUCACCGGUGCACUCCGCCCGGCUCAGGCCAGCAUCGGUUCUCGUGGGGGGACAAAGGUCCCGGGAACGUAGCUCCUCCGGGAGUGUUAUAGCCCGGGGCGUAAUGCCCUCGCGGGGACCGAGGACCGCGCUUCGGCAAGGAUG